AGGUGGAAGAGUUAUUAAGAUAUCUGGAGGACAAAAUAGGUGCUAUAUCCACUGAGAUACCCACUCAAAGACAGAGCCAGAAUGAAUGAUGGCAGAGACGAAAGGUGGGAGGAACUGAGGAUUGCUUUAUUUCCAGAAGUUCUAUCAUCUUCACCAAAUGGUUAAUUUGGACUUGACAGCGGCCAAUUACAUGUGUCCCGUGCAUUGGCUUCGAGCACAGCAUUCAAA
Molecule: long non-coding RNA, 228 nt
Organism: Urocitellus parryii (Arctic ground squirrel)
Lineage: Eukaryota; Metazoa; Chordata; Mammalia; Rodentia; Sciuridae
Source: RefSeq, a predicted model, not a curated record